Molecule: ribosomal RNA, 484 nt
Filed under: uncultured bacterium
Lineage: Bacteria
Description: bacterial SSU rRNA
Rfam family: Bacterial small subunit ribosomal RNA
Source: RNAcentral
AUUGAACGCUGGCGGCAUGCCUUACACAUGCAAGUCGAACGGGCAGCACGGGAGCAAUCCUGGUGGCGAGUGGCGAACGGGUGAGUAAUAUAUCGGAACGUGCCCAGUCGUGGGGGAUAACGUAGCGAAAGUUACGCUAAUACCGCAUACGAUCUAAGGAUGAAAGCGGGGGAUCGCAAGACCUCGCGCGAUUGGAGCGGCCGAUAUCAGAUUAGGUAGUUGGUGAGGUAAAGGCUCACCAAGCCAACGAUCUGUAGCUGGUCUGAGAGGACGACCAGCCACACUGGAACUGAGACACGGUCCAGACUCCUACGGGAGGCAGCAGUGGGGAAUUUUGGACAAUGGGCGCAAGCCUGAUCCAGCAAUGCCGCGUGCAGGAUGAAGGCCUUCGGGUUGUAAACUGCUUUGUACGGAACGAAACGGUGAGCUCUAAUACAGUUUGCUAAUGACGGUACCGUAAGAAUAAGCACCGGCUAACUACGUG